This is an RNA transcript of Otolemur garnettii (small-eared galago), 801 nucleotides long. It is a transcript of the gene named sorcin pseudogene, with no coding region annotated. The transcript has a single exon. The record is from RefSeq and is a predicted model, not a curated record. NCBI's taxonomy places the organism in Eukaryota, Metazoa, Chordata, Mammalia, Primates, Galagidae.
GCCGUGCAGUCGACACCAUGGCGUACCCUGGGCACCCUGGCGCUGGCGGCGGGUACUACCCAGGAGGGUAUGGAGGGGCUCCCGGAGGGCCGGCAUUUCCCGGACAAACCCAGGAUCCACUGUAUGGUUACUUUGCUGCUGUAGCCGGACAGGAUGGGCAAAUCGAUGCUGAUGAACUGCAGAGAUGUCUGACAGAGUCUGGCAUUGCAGGAGGAUACAAACCUUUUAACCUGGAGACUUGUCGGCUUAUGGUUUCAAUGCUGGAUAGGGAUAUGUCUGGCACAAUGGGCUUCAAUGAAUUUAAAGAACUCUGGUCUGUACUGAAUGGCUGGAGACAGCACUUCCUCAGUUUUGACAGUGAUAGGAGUGGAACAGUGGAGCCUCAAGAAUUGCAGAAGGCCCUGACAACAAUGGGAUUUAGGUUGAGUCCCCAGGCUGUGAAUUCAAUUGCAAAACGAUACAGCACCAAUGGAAAGAUCACCUUUGAUGACUACAUUGCCUGCUGCGUGAAACUGCAGGCUCUUACAGACAGCUUUCGAAGACGGGAUACUGCUUAGCAAGGUUUUGUGAAUUUCCCAUAUGAUGACUUCAUUCAGUGUGUCAUGAGUGUUUAAAUCAAGAAGGAAGCCGCGGAUAUAAUCGACAUUCCAACUGGAGUUCUCCUUCGCCCUUCCUCUUUGCCUGCAGUAACGUGUGUAAACUUGCAUUGCCACUUUCCCUUAGUAGCUGAUUGAAAAAUUUAUUCCUUUAUGUACAACUGAAGUUUUGUUUUUAGUUUUGAUAAUAAAUUCUUUGUAACUU